RNAcentral lists this long non-coding RNA (207 nucleotides) under Elaeis guineensis (African oil palm). Its description in RNAcentral is "long non-coding RNA (EGUI_LNC004978)". Lineage: Eukaryota; Viridiplantae; Streptophyta; Magnoliopsida; Arecales; Arecaceae. The record is from RNAcentral.
CGAUGAACUAUCGAUCUCAUCCGAAUGGUCAGAUCGGAGCUGAAGUCUAUGGAGCUGCCGAAGGGGUCACGUGAUGUCGUUUGGGCCGUGCGAUCUCUAUGGCUAGACCAUGUUGCCAUAUGUUUACCGUAUUGUCAAGAAAUUAUCACAUCAUCGGGUGGAUAAAAUGCAGUCGCAAUAAUAUUCAUGCCAGGAUGACUCCUUGUC